UUACGGCCAUAUCACGUUAAAACAUCGGUUCUCGUACGAUCACUGAAGUUAAGCCAUGUCGAACCUGAUUAGUACCUAGAUGGGUGACGGUUUUGAAAUACCAAGUGCUGUAA
This is a non-coding RNA of Acanthosepion pharaonis, 113 nucleotides long. The record is from the annotation of a GenBank genome assembly. Lineage: Eukaryota; Metazoa; Mollusca; Cephalopoda; Sepiida; Sepiidae.